GUUCUUAUAGUUGAAUACAACAGCAGUUUUUCAGAUUGCGGGUCUAGGUUAAAGUCCUUGUAGGAAUU
RNAcentral lists this transfer RNA (68 nucleotides) under Odontophrynus occidentalis. RNAcentral's name for it is "tRNA-Glu". It matches the Rfam family "tRNA". Rfam says of the family: Transfer RNA (tRNA) molecules are approximately 80 nucleotides in length. Their secondary structure includes four short double-helical elements and three loops (D, anti-codon, and T loops). Further hydrogen bonds mediate the characteristic L-shaped molecular structure. tRNAs have two regions of fundamental functional importance: the anti-codon, which is responsible for specific mRNA codon recognition, and the 3' end, to which the tRNAs corresponding amino acid is attached (by aminoacyl-tRNA synthetases). tRNAs cope with the degeneracy of the genetic code in two manners: having more than one tRNA (with a specific anti-codon) for a particular amino acid; and 'wobble' base-pairing, i.e. permitting non-standard base-pairing at the 3rd anti-codon position. The record is from RNAcentral. Lineage: Eukaryota; Metazoa; Chordata; Amphibia; Anura; Alsodidae.